AUAUGUAUAUGUUUCAAACCAUUAUUCUACUAUAACUUUAAGUGAAAGAGUUCCAUACAAUAAUCUAUAUUAUUAGCUAUAGGCUACUUAUCAACCUAAAGCCAUAUACUACUAUGUAAAUAAUAUAAAUUUAUUAAAAUGUUAAUAUUCAUGCACUAAUAAACUAAGUACCCAAUAGUUUACAUUUUAUCUGACAGACUAAAAUACUUUUAAGUCAAAAUAGUAGAUAGAGAUUUAAAAUACUAGGUAUAUAAUGAUAUAUAACUUGAGUGAUUUUCAAUAUUGUUUUUUUAAUUUAUUCAAUUUUGUUAGAAUUUUAGAACUUAAGUUUCAAAAUGACAUCUUAGAAUAAUUGGGACGAGUGCAGUCACUGUUAUAGGUAGUUUAAUGUAUACUUGUAGCAACCAUAAACCAAUGCUUACGAAAAAACGAUUCUGCAAAAAAUGCAAAAUAAGUUAUCCCUGUUUGUACACCUGUCUCUCCACUCAAAUUGCAUUAUGAGUAAAAUAAAAAGACUCAUUCUUCCCACAGGGGUGCAGCCAUUGUAUGUUGAAAGUUGGAUAAAUAGGAUACAAAAGAGAAUUUAAUGCAAUGACAAAUGAUUGUGAGUGCAGUUGAGUUGAUAGUGAUACUUUUUCAACAAUAUUUUUUGUCAUUUUGUUGUA
Non-coding RNA from Cinara cedri, 665 nucleotides. NCBI's taxonomy places the organism in Eukaryota, Metazoa, Arthropoda, Insecta, Hemiptera, Aphididae. The record is from the annotation of a GenBank genome assembly.